AGUGAACGCUGGCGGUAGGCCUAACACAUGCAAGUCGAACGGCAGCACAGUAAGAGCUUGCUCUUACGGGUGGCGAGUGGCGGACGGGUGAGGAAUACAUCGGAAUCUACUUUUUCGUGGGGGAUAACGUAGGGAAACUUACGCUAAUACCGCAUACGACCUACGGGUGAAGGCAGGGGAUCUUCUGACCUUGCGCGAUUGAAUGAGCCGCUGUCGGAUUAGCUAGUUGGCGGGGUAAAGGCCCACCAAGGCGACGAUCCGUAGCUGGUCUGAGAGGAUGGUCGGCGACACUGGAACUGAGACACGGUCCAGGCGCCUGCGGGAGGCAGCAGUGGGGAAUAUUGGACAGUGGGCGCAAGCCUGAUCCAGCCAUACCGCGUGGGUGAAGAAGGCCUUCGGGUUGUAAAGCCGUUUUGUUGGGAAAGAAAAGCAGCAGGUUAAUACCACGCUGUUCUGACGGUACCCAGUGAAUAAGCACCGGCUAACUUCGUG
Molecule: ribosomal RNA, 492 nt
Filed under: uncultured bacterium
Lineage: Bacteria
Description: partial 16S ribosomal RNA
Rfam family: Bacterial small subunit ribosomal RNA
Source: RNAcentral